CAGAUCGGUGGCAGGGAGCGUAAUAAUGCAAGUCGAACGAACUCUGGUAUUGAUUGGUGCUUGCAUCAUGAUUUACAUUUGAGUGAGUGGCGAACUGGUGAGUAACACGUGGGAAACCUGCCCAGAAGCGGGGGAUAACACCUGGAAACAGAUGCUAAUACCGCAUAACAACUUGGACCGCAUGGUCCGAGCUUGAAAGAUGGCUUCGGCUAUCACUUUUGGAUGGUCCCGCGGCGUAUUAGCUAGAUGGUGGGGUAACGGCUCACCAUGGCAAUGAUACGUAGCCGACCUGAGAGGGUAAUCGGCCACAUUGGGACUGAGACACGGCCCAAACUCCUACGGGAGGCAGCAGUAGGGAAUCUUCCACAAUGGACGAAAGUCUGAUGGAGCAACGCCGCGUGAGUGAAGAAGGGUUUCGGCUCGUAAAACUCUGUUGUUAAAGAAGAACAUAUCUGAGAGUAACUGUUCAGGUAUUGACGGUAUUUAACCAGAAAGCCACGGCUAACUACGUGCCAGCAGCCGCGGUAAUACGUAGGUGGCAAGCGUUGUCCGGAUUUAUUGGGCGUAAAGCGAGCGCAGGCGGUUUUUUAAGUCUGAUGUGAAAGCCUUCGGCUCAACCGAAGAAGUGCAUCGGAAACUGGGAAACUUGAGUGCAGAAGAGGACAGUGGAACUCCAUGUGUAGCGGUGAAAUGCGUAGAUAUAUGGAAGAACACCAGUGGCGAAGGCGGGCUGUCUGGUCUGUAACUGACGCUGAAGCUCGAAAGUAUGGGUAGCAAACCGGAUUAUAAACCCCUGGUAGUCCACAACCGUAAACGAUGAAUGCUAAAUGUUUGAAG
Molecule: ribosomal RNA, 837 nt
Filed under: Lactiplantibacillus plantarum
Lineage: Bacteria; Bacillati; Bacillota; Bacilli; Lactobacillales; Lactobacillaceae
Description: bacterial SSU rRNA
Rfam family: Bacterial small subunit ribosomal RNA
Source: RNAcentral